This 521-nucleotide ribosomal RNA is filed under the name uncultured Glomeromycotina. Its description in RNAcentral is "SSU rRNA". It matches the Rfam family "Eukaryotic small subunit ribosomal RNA", at positions 569 to 1092 of the family's 1831-position model. The record is from RNAcentral. Lineage: Eukaryota; Fungi; Glomeromycota.
AGCAGCCGCGGUAAUUCCAGCUCCAAUAGCGUAUAUUAAAGUUGUUGCAGUUAAAAAGCUCGUAGUUGAAUUUCGGGAUUCAUCCGUUGGUCGGGCUUCACGGUCCGUACUGGUGUGAUGGGUUCCUACCUUCUGAAUAACCGGCAUGCCAUUAAUUUGGUGCGCCGGGGAAGCAGAACUAUUACCUUGAAAAAAUUAGAGUGCUUAAAGCAGGCAAGUGCCUGAAUAGGUUAGCAUGGAAUAAUAAAAUAGGACGGCAUGGUUCUAUUUUGUUGGUUUCUAGGAUCACCGUAAUGAUUAAUAGGGAUAGUUGGGGGCAUUAGUAUUCAAUUGUCAGAGGUGAAAUUCUUGGAUUUAUUGAAGACUAACUUCUGCGAAAGCAUUUGCCAAGGAUGUUUUCAUUAAUCAAGAACGAAAGUUAGGGGAUCGAAGACGAUCAGAUACCGUCGUAGUCUUAACCAUAAACUAUGCCGACUAGGGAUCGGACGAUGUUAAAAAAAUGACGCGCUCGGCACCUCAUG